Molecule: ribosomal RNA, 450 nt
Filed under: uncultured bacterium
Lineage: Bacteria
Description: bacterial SSU rRNA
Rfam family: Bacterial small subunit ribosomal RNA
Source: RNAcentral
GUGGGGAAUAUUGGACAAUGGGCGAAAGCCUGAUCCAGCCAUGCCGCGUGUGUGAAGAAGGUCUUCGGAUUGUAAAGCACUUUAAGUUGGGAGGAAGGGCAGUAAGUUAAUACCUUGCUGUUUUGACGUUACCAACAGAAUAAGCACCGGCUAACUUCGUGCCAGCAGCCGCGGUAAUACGAAGGGUGCAAGCGUUAAUCGGAAUUACUGGGCGUAAAGCGCGCGUAGGUGGUUCAGCAAGUUGGAGGUGAAAUCCCCGGGCUCAACCUGGGAACUGCCUCCAAAACUACUGAGCUAGAGUACGGUAGAGGGUAGUGGAAGUUCCUGUGUAGCGGUGAAAUGCGUAGAUAUAGGAAGGAACACCAGUGGCGAAGGCGACUACCUGGACUGAUACUGACACUGAGGUGCGAAAGCGUGGGGAGCAAACAGGAUUAGAUACCCGGGUAGUCC